Molecule: small RNA, 75 nt
Filed under: Xanthomonas campestris
Lineage: Bacteria; Pseudomonadati; Pseudomonadota; Gammaproteobacteria; Lysobacterales; Lysobacteraceae
Description: sRNA sX9
Rfam family: Xanthomonas sRNA sX9
Source: RNAcentral
AUGUACCCACGUACAUUCCGGUUCCUGCGCGCCGUCCGCACCCACCUGACGGCUGCUCGCUACGUUUUGUUAGCC